Long non-coding RNA from Mizuhopecten yessoensis (Yesso scallop), 404 nucleotides. RefSeq lists it as uncharacterized. NCBI's taxonomy places the organism in Eukaryota, Metazoa, Mollusca, Bivalvia, Pectinida, Pectinidae. The transcript has 3 exons. The record is from RefSeq and is a predicted model, not a curated record.
AGCAUGGUCGUCAUGGCGAACCUGGAGCGCAUGCGCUGUUGUUAACAAUGAUGUCAUCCGGUCAAGAUGUCGGAAGUGCACGAAUCCAAUCCCACAAUAUGGGGGAGCAUUUUGUCCCUACAAAUCACUGGACUCCGAGGAAUGUCCACUUUCACCAGAUACCUUCAAGCCUAAAUGCAGGUGUCGACAAGCUCGUAUGCCAGUGGUUAAAAACAUCAGUGUGACUGAGUUAGUAGCCAUCAUAGACCAACUGAAAGAGGAAUUGACAGUCGACAAAACCCAAACAUCCACGGCUGUUAGGAAGAAAAUGUCUGCUCCAGAUUCUCGGAAGUCCUCGGCGGUCAUAGGAGCUCUACUGGGUAUUGUUAUGUUGGCUAUACCCAUCCUCUUCAUUUGUGCCAUCG